Molecule: ribosomal RNA, 450 nt
Filed under: uncultured bacterium
Lineage: Bacteria
Description: partial 16S ribosomal RNA
Rfam family: Bacterial small subunit ribosomal RNA
Source: RNAcentral
GUGGGGAAUUUUGGACAAUGGGCGAAAGCCUGAUCCAGCAAUGCCGCGUGCAGGAUGAAGGCCCUCGGGUUGUAAACUGCUUUUGUACGGAACGAAAAGCUCUGGGCUAAUACCCUGGAGUCAUGACGGUACCGUAAGAAUAAGCACCGGCUAACUACGUGCCAGCAGCCGCGGUAAUACGUAGGGUGCAAGCGUUAAUCGGAAUUACUGGGCGUAAAGCGUGCGCAGGCGGUUUUGUAAGACAGUGGUGAAAUCCCCGGGCUCAACCUGGGAACUGCCAUUGUGACUGCAAAGCUAGAGUGCGGCAGAGGGGGAUGGAAUUCCGCGUGUAGCAGUGAAAUGCGUAGAUAUGCGGAGGAACACCGAUGGCGAAGGCAAUCCCCUGGGCCUGCACUGACGCUCAUGCACGAAAGCGUGGGGAGCAAACAGGAUUAGAAACCCCAGUAGUCC